CACCGCGGUUAUACGAGAGGCCCGAGUUGAUAGACUACGGCGUAAAGCGUGGUUAAGAAACACAUUAAACUAAAGCCGAAUGCCCUCAGAGCUGUUAUACGCUCACGAUGGUCAGAAGCCCAAUCACGAAAGUAGCUUUACUUAACCUGAAGCCACGAAAGCUAUGACA
RNAcentral lists this ribosomal RNA (169 nucleotides) under Terapon jarbua (Jarbua terapon). RNAcentral's name for it is "partial 12S ribosomal RNA". The record is from RNAcentral. Lineage: Eukaryota; Metazoa; Chordata; Actinopteri; Centrarchiformes; Terapontidae.